AUUGAACGCUAGCGGCAUGCUUUACACAUGCAAGUCGAACGGGCUUAGGUGCUUGCACCUAAGUUAGUGGCGAACGGGUGAGUAAUGCAUCGGAACGUACCGUGUAGUGGGGGAUAACCCGGCGAAAGUCGGAUUAAUACCGCAUACGAUCUAAGGAUGAAAGCAGGGGAUCGCAAGACCUUGCGCUAUACGAGCGGCCGAUGUCGGAUUAGCUAGUUGGUAGGGUAAAGGCCUACCAAGGCAACGAUCCGUAGCGGGUCUGAGAGGAUGAUCCGCCACACUGGGACUGAGACACGGCCCAGCCUCCUACGGGAGGCAGCAGUGGGGAAUUUUGGACAAUGGGCGAAAGCCUGAUCCAGCCAUGCCGCGUGAGUGAAGAAGGCCUUCGGGUUGUAAAGCUCUUUUGUCCGGGAGCAAAUCCUGUUCACUAAUACUGAGCGGGGCUGAGAGUACCGGAAGAAUAAGCACCGGCUAACUACGUGCCAGCCGCCGCCGUAA
RNAcentral lists this ribosomal RNA (498 nucleotides) under uncultured bacterium. Its description in RNAcentral is "partial 16S ribosomal RNA". It matches the Rfam family "Bacterial small subunit ribosomal RNA", at positions 30 to 523 of the family's 1533-position model. The record is from RNAcentral.